Molecule: ribosomal RNA, 126 nt
Filed under: Clostridioides difficile
Lineage: Bacteria; Bacillati; Bacillota; Clostridia; Peptostreptococcales; Peptostreptococcaceae
Description: partial 23S ribosomal RNA
Rfam family: Bacterial large subunit ribosomal RNA
Source: RNAcentral
ACUUCAAGAUAAGAUUUCCCACCGCAAGGGUAAGACCCCAGAAAGACUAUCUGGUUGAUAGGUCGAAGGUGUAAGUGCAGCAAUGUAUUUAGCUUAUCGAUACUAAUAGGUCGAGGACUUGACCAA